RNAcentral lists this long non-coding RNA (462 nucleotides) under Numida meleagris (helmeted guineafowl). RNAcentral's name for it is "lncRNA (ENSNMEG00000008237.1)". The record is from RNAcentral. Lineage: Eukaryota; Metazoa; Chordata; Aves; Galliformes; Numididae.
UGCAGCUGGACUGGGGAUGGGUCAUGAGGCAGAUGAGCAGAAAAGGACAACCCUUAGCAUAGUUGCUCCAGGUCCUAAGGACCACACAGCAUAUAGCACAUGACCCACUGCAUCCAGUGACCAAAACACAGACUUCCCCUGUGAGAAGGAAGAGAAGUAAUCAGGAUCCACCUGUCUGUGACACCACUGCUGUAAGAUGAACACCUGCAUGAAAGAACAAGACCUACACUUCAGGUAUUAAGAGCAGGAAACUCAGAAGUCUUUAGCAGCUUCAGCACCAAAAAUCUUGUGGAGAGUUUUCAGGUACUGCAUCCUUAUGCAGCAGGAGUUCACUGAUGCUUAAUUAUGCCCGAGAGAGAUGAGAGAAGCAGAGCUCCCACUAAACUUGAAAAAUGUGGUAGGAAAAUGAUUCAGUUGCAUCCCAUUUACAGGAUGACUAGGAUUCUGUUUCAUCCAGAAGGA